AGAACGAACGCUGGCGGCAUGCCUAACACAUGCAAGUCGAACGUGAUCCAUGACUUCGGUUGUGGUGAAAGUGGCAAACGGGUGAGUAAUGCGUGGGAAUCUGCCCAGAGGUAGGGAAUAAACCGCGGGAAACUGCGGCUAAUACCCUAUGUGCCCUACGGGGCAAAGAUUUAUCGCCUUUGGAGGAGCCCGCGUCGGAUUAGGUAGUUGGUAGGGUAACGGCCUACCAAGCCUACGAUCCGUAGCUGGUCUGAGAGGAUGAUCAGCCACACUGGGACUGAGAUACGGCCCAGACUCCUACGGGAGGCAGCAGUGGGGAAUAUUGGACAAUGGGGGCAACCCUGAUCCAGCAAUGCCGCGUGAGUGAUGAAGGCCUUCGGGUUGUAAAGCUCUUUCGGCGGGAAGAUGAUGACGGUACCGCAGAAGAAGCCCGGCUAACUUCGUGCCAGCAGCCGC
Molecule: ribosomal RNA, 456 nt
Filed under: uncultured bacterium
Lineage: Bacteria
Description: SSU rRNA
Rfam family: Bacterial small subunit ribosomal RNA
Source: RNAcentral